GGUUCUGCUCAUCUUUAAGUCGCGCUAUUCUAUUAUAGCAAACUAUCUGUAAGAGUUGGUAUAAUCAUGGCAAACCCUCAACUGCUUCUGUCUGAAGCUGAAGGCUGGUUAGUGUAAGGAUACCGAUGUCACACACCUCCUCCAUUUUUGGGAAGCAGAGAACGUGAAGAAAGGUGGAGAGCUAAUGAGGAUCAAUUUGGUCAUUGGUUAUGAGAAGACCACGCUCAUCUAGGACUCUAUUAGCAUCCAUCAUAAAAUCAUACAUGAAGGUUGGAUAUCAAAGAUUAUGUCACAUGAUUUGAGGAUCUUGAACCUGCGUUUCAUGUCUUGACGCUUUUUAACAUAUGAAUGAAGUGCGGUAAGAGAUGUGAGCAUCCCACCAAGGACAAGGCUUUGGAUACUGUGAUACAGACCAUAUCAAGAGGUUUGAAACCAACUUGAUGAAAGACUGGAUGUGUUAAAUAUUACUAAUUGGAUGGAACCGUUCUCUAUUUUUUUAGUGCAGGAUCUUCAAAAGUUUAUAUUUUAAUGACUUGGCCUUCAUAUAAUUAAGCAUGACAAGGAACACAGUAUUUGAAGUAUAUCAA
Long non-coding RNA from Brassica oleracea var. oleracea, 587 nucleotides. RefSeq lists it as uncharacterized. Lineage: Eukaryota; Viridiplantae; Streptophyta; Magnoliopsida; Brassicales; Brassicaceae. The transcript is spliced from 4 exons. The record is from RefSeq and is a predicted model, not a curated record.